Molecule: ribosomal RNA, 253 nt
Filed under: uncultured bacterium
Lineage: Bacteria
Description: partial 16S ribosomal RNA
Rfam family: Bacterial small subunit ribosomal RNA
Source: RNAcentral
UACGUAGGGGGCAAGCGUUAUCCGGAUUUACUGGGUGUAAAGGGAGCGUAGACGGUGAUGUAAGUCAGAUGUGAAAGCCCGGGGCUCAACUCCGGGACUGCAUUUGAAACUAUGUUGCUAGAGUGCAGGAGAGGUAAGUGGAAUUCCUAGUGUAGCGGUGAAAUGCGUAGAUAUUAGGAGGAACACCAGUGGCGAAGGCGGCUUACUGGACUGUAACUGACGUUGAGGCUCGACAGCCAGGGGAGCGAACGGG